AAUUUCUUACAAGAAUUUUACAUGCAAAAAUAUAUAUGCUCUGCACAGUCGUCAUGCUGAUGAGGGUUCAUCUGGAAGAGAAGAAGCAACUAACGACAUGCGCCGUUUAACAUCUUGAGUUGUAUUGUAUGCACCACAUUGCAUACAUUUCAAGCCAAUAAAGUUAAAUUUGGUUUUUGAGGUCUGCAGUAUAAAGAUGAUAAAGAGUUGGUUUACAGUUUACCACCCACCUUGUGACAGUCAUUGCAAAAAAUAUGUAUACGCUGAUUUUCAUAUUUCUUUGGCACCGGCAAUGAAACCG
This is a long non-coding RNA of Ceratitis capitata (Mediterranean fruit fly), 301 nucleotides long. RefSeq lists it as uncharacterized. The transcript has 3 exons. The record is from RefSeq and is a predicted model, not a curated record. NCBI's taxonomy places the organism in Eukaryota, Metazoa, Arthropoda, Insecta, Diptera, Tephritidae.